UAGCUCUUGUUUCUCUUAAGUCAUGCAUAAAUCUUUUGCCUUUUAUUAAAGAUUUCCGUGGAGAGGAACAUCAAUGAGUUUGAUGCCUUUUGGCUAAGAUCAAGUGUUCUCU
Small nuclear RNA from Hemibagrus wyckioides, 112 nucleotides. RefSeq annotates it as U5 spliceosomal RNA. The record is from RefSeq and is a predicted model, not a curated record. The transcript has a single exon. NCBI's taxonomy places the organism in Eukaryota, Metazoa, Chordata, Actinopteri, Siluriformes, Bagridae.